Long non-coding RNA from Pristis pectinata (smalltooth sawfish), 360 nucleotides. RefSeq lists it as uncharacterized. The transcript is spliced from 3 exons. The record is from RefSeq and is a predicted model, not a curated record. NCBI's taxonomy places the organism in Eukaryota, Metazoa, Chordata, Chondrichthyes, Rhinopristiformes, Pristidae.
UGCAGUUCUGGUCGCCCCGUUACAGGAAGGAUGUGAAGGCUUUGGAGAGGGCGGAGAAGAGGUUCACCGGGUUGCUGCCUGGAUUAAAGGUUCCAGGCUCAAUAACCGAGAUCGCUGCCCUAGUCUUGCCUGGAGGCAGUCCCUUGGGCUUGAGGAUGACUUGCUUCCAGUCCAGUGCUGUGGGUUCUGGAAUGGCUGGUGAGGCCCACCUAAAGGAGAAGCUGGUUGAUGGAGCAGAUGGUGUACAGGAUCUCAGGAGAGACUCCCGGUUUCUCCUCCCUGGGGUACAGAGCAGGAGGAAUGGGAGAAGACAGUCGACAGUGGAGGGAGAAGAGGGGAUGGGGAAUCAGUGUUACGAUG